This is a long non-coding RNA of Xiphophorus hellerii (green swordtail), 683 nucleotides long. RefSeq lists it as uncharacterized. Lineage: Eukaryota; Metazoa; Chordata; Actinopteri; Cyprinodontiformes; Poeciliidae. The record is from RefSeq and is a predicted model, not a curated record. The transcript is spliced from 4 exons.
GUGUGUGUGUGUGUGUGACAAUCCCAGUAUAUUUAAAACAUUUAUUGUCCUUCCUUUCAUUUCUGCCACCUGUAGAGCAGCUCUCCCUCCAACACAAGAAGCAGUUUCAGAGCCGUGAUGACAGCGUUGUCCUCGUUCAGAAGCAGAGGAGUGGUUGGGCUCAGAAAAUAUAAAGACCUUGUCUUCAUGAUUACUCUGCUCAGCCUGCUCUGUCCUGCAAGUUCAUGGAUAAGCAAGGAGGAAUUGCAAGAAAUGAAGGAAAAUAUUCAGACGCUACAAGAAGAUGCAGCAAUGAGAAAACUUGCCAACAAGUUGGACAUGGAGCUCCUUUCUUUAGUCCUCAAAGAAACUAAGGAUAUUCUAGACAUUGAGUAUGAAAUUCUUCAUCGGUUAUUUUCAGGUUAUCAAUAUCCCGUUGGAGAAUUAAGCGACAUGAGAAGUUUCCUGGUAAAAAGACAUAAUUUUUUGACAAAAAAGUUCCAAAAUGAAGCCGAACGGGUGAAAAAAUAUGAAGACACACUCGCAAAUAUGGAGACGUUUGUAGCAAACUUAGCAGAGAAGCAUGUUGACUUGUAAAAUGUGUAGCAUGAUUCCAGAAUCUUUAUAUCUAGGAAACCUAAUUACGCAGAAAUAUUAAUCUUCUUUGCUGUUUUUUUUAAAUAAAAUACUUCUGCUGAAAUCAA